This 449-nucleotide long non-coding RNA is filed under the name Mytilus galloprovincialis (Mediterranean mussel). The record is from RNAcentral. Lineage: Eukaryota; Metazoa; Mollusca; Bivalvia; Mytilida; Mytilidae.
CUCUGAAGUGACCAGUGGGUCAGAUUUGUAUAACAUUGCUAUUUGAUUAAUUGUCUAAAUUGUAUAACACUUUUUCACGUGUAGAAAACCAUGUGAGUGGGUUCCUUACUUCUUAUUGGUCAAUGAUCUUGCGGGGUCAGCACAAGUUUACGUGCCAUGUGUGUACUUCCUUUUAUCAUUAACUUUCGUCUUGAUAACUUGUGAUUCUAAAACAUUGCGUGAAAUUUAAAUUUCCCACCCGCAAACCUCCCUUUAUUUAUCUUUACAAGUAGUUUUGUAAAUAGAUUUUUUUAGUUGGGCAGAUUUUUCUCCCCACCUUUGCUAUUAUUUGUCAUUUAUUCAAUUGAUAUGAUUUUAGUUGAUGUAAUUUCGUAUUAAUUAUGUAUUAUAAUUGCAUAUUAAUUAUGAACUUUUAUGUCAAAUGUUUUAUUUGCAAAUUGUAUUUGUUU